RNAcentral lists this small nucleolar RNA (77 nucleotides) under Melopsittacus undulatus (budgerigar). RNAcentral's name for it is "Small nucleolar RNA SNORD66 (ENSMUNG00000008680.2)". It matches the Rfam family "Small nucleolar RNA SNORD66". From Rfam's summary of the family: snoRNA HBII-142 is part of the C/D family of snoRNAs. It is the human orthologue of the mouse MBII-142 snoRNA and is predicted to guide 2'O-ribose methylation of small 18S rRNA at residue C1272. Lineage: Eukaryota; Metazoa; Chordata; Aves; Psittaciformes; Psittaculidae. The record is from Rfam by way of RNAcentral.
CUCCCAUGAUGAACUCUGUUUUGUGCCAUUGUGUCUGGGCCACUGAUGCUUCAUGAUGGUAAUGAGGAUCUGAGGGG